This 253-nucleotide ribosomal RNA is filed under the name uncultured bacterium. RNAcentral's name for it is "partial 16S ribosomal RNA". It matches the Rfam family "Bacterial small subunit ribosomal RNA", at positions 524 to 776 of the family's 1533-position model. The record is from RNAcentral.
UACGUAGGGGGCAAGCGUUGUCCGGAAUUAUUGGGCGUAAAGAGCGUGUAGGCGGUCCGGUAAGUCGGCUGUGAAAGUCCAGGGCUCAACCCUGGGAUGCCGGUCGAUACUGCCGGACUAGAGUUCGGAAGAGGUGAGUGGAAUUCCCAGUGUAGCGGUGAAAUGCGUAGAUAUUGGGAGGAACACCAGUGGCGAAGGCGGCUCACUGGACCGGAACUGACGCUGAGGCGCGAAAGCGUGGGGAGCAAACAGG